UACGGAAGGCAGCAGUGGGGAAUAUUGGACAAUGGGCGCAAGCCUGAUCCAGCCAUGCCGCGUGUGUGAAGAAGGCCUUCGGGUUGUAAAGCACUUUUGUCCGGAAAGAAAAGCUUAGGGUUAAUAACCUUGAGUCAUGACGGUACCGGAAGAAUAAGCACCGGCUAACUUCGUGCCAGCAGCCGCGGUAAUACGAAGGGUGCAAGCGUUACUCGGAAUUACUGGGCGUAAAGCGUGCGUAGGUGGUUUUGUUAAAGUCUGAUGUGAAAGCCCUGGGCUCAACCUGGGAAUGGCAUUGGAAACUGGCUUACUAGAGUGCGGUAGAGGGGUGUGGAAUUCCCGGUGUAGCAGUGAAAUGCGUAGAUAUCGGGAGGAACAUCUGUGGCGAAGGCGACACCCUGGACCAGCACUGACACUGAGGCACGAAAAGCGUGGGGAGCAAACAGGAUUAGAUACC
This 457-nucleotide ribosomal RNA is filed under the name uncultured bacterium. RNAcentral's name for it is "bacterial SSU rRNA". It matches the Rfam family "Bacterial small subunit ribosomal RNA", at positions 340 to 786 of the family's 1533-position model. The record is from RNAcentral.